AGAGUUUGAUUAUGGCUCAGGAUGAACGCUGGCGGCGUGCUUAACACAUGCAAGUCGAACGAGGUCCAACCUUCGGGUGAAGACCGAGUGGCGAACGGGUGAGUAACACGUGGGGAACCUGCCCUUCUCUCUGGGAUAACCUCGGGAAACCGAAGCUAAUACCGGAUACUCCUUGCGGACCGCAUGGUCUGCUCGGGAAAGCUCCGGCGGAGAAGGAUGGCCCCGCGGCCCAUUAGCUUGUUGGUGGGGUAACGGCCCACCAAGGCGACGAUGGGUAGCCGAGCUGAGAGGCUGAUCGGCCACACUGGGACUGAGACACGGCCCAGACUCCUACGGGAGGCAGCAGUGGGGAAUCUUGCGCAAUGGGCGAAAGCCUGACGCAGCAACGCCGCGUGCGGGAUGAAGGCUCUCGGGUCGUAAACCGCUUUCAGCAGGGAUGAAAAUGACAGUACCUGCAGAAGAAGCCCCGGCUAAAUACGUGCCAGCAGCCGCGGUAAUACGUAUGGGGCAAGCGUUAUCCGGAUUCAUUGGGCGUAAAGCGCGCGUAGGCGGCUUGUUAAGUCAGGCGUGAAAUCCGGGGGCUCAACCCGCGGCUUGCGUCUGAAACUGGCAGGCUUGAGUCUGGUAGAGGAAAGUGGAAUUCCUGGUGUAGCGGUGAAAUGCGCAGAUAUCAGAGGAACACCAGUGGCGAAGCGGCUUUCUGGGCCACGACUGACGCUGAGGCGCGAAAGCUAGGGGAGCGAACAGGAUUAGAUACCCUGGUAGUC
This 767-nucleotide ribosomal RNA is filed under the name uncultured Actinomycetes bacterium. Its description in RNAcentral is "bacterial SSU rRNA". It matches the Rfam family "Bacterial small subunit ribosomal RNA", at positions 8 to 795 of the family's 1533-position model. Lineage: Bacteria; Bacillati; Actinomycetota; Actinomycetes. The record is from RNAcentral.